This 917-nucleotide ribosomal RNA is filed under the name Exophiala spinifera. Its description in RNAcentral is "LSU rRNA". It matches the Rfam family "Eukaryotic large subunit ribosomal RNA", at positions 38 to 964 of the family's 3401-position model. Lineage: Eukaryota; Fungi; Ascomycota; Eurotiomycetes; Chaetothyriales; Herpotrichiellaceae. The record is from RNAcentral.
GCAUAUCAUAGCGGAGGAAAAGAAACCAACAGGGAUUGCCUCAGUAACGGCGAAGUGAAGCGGCAACAGCUCAAAUUUGAAAUCUGGCCUCUUUGGGGUUCCGAGUUGUAAUUUGUAGAGGAUGUUUCGGGUACCGCCUCGGUUUAAAUUUCUUGGAACAGAAUGUCAGAGAGGGUGAGAAUCCCGUCUUGGACCGGCGGUAGGGCCCAUGUGAAACUCCUUCGACGAGUCGAGUUGUUUGGGAAUGCAGCUCAAAAUGGGUGGUAAAUUUCAUCUAAAGCUAAAUAUUGGCCAGAGACCGAUAGCGCACAAGUAGAGUGAUCGAAAGAUGAAAAGAACUUUGAAAAGAGAGUUAAACAGUAUGUGAAAUUGUUGAAAGGGAAGCGCUUGCAACCAGACUUGAGCGCGGCGGUUCCCCCUUCCUUUUGGUUGGGUUACUCCGCCGUGUCCAGGCCAACAUCGGUUCUGGGGGUCGGUUAAAGGCCCGGGGAAUGUACCUACUCCUUCGGGGGUAGACUUAUAGCCCCGGGUGUCAUGCGACCACCCGGGACCGAGGAACGCGCUUCGGCUCGGAUGUUGGCGUAAUGGUUGUCAGCGACCCGUCUUGAAACACGGACCAAGGAGUCUAACAUCUAUGCGAGUGUUUGGGUGUCAAACCCGGAACGCGAAAUGAAAGUGAACGGAGGUAGGAAGCCUUUGGGCUGCACUAUCGACCGAUCCUGAUGUCUUCGGAUGGAUUUGAGUAAGAGCAUAGCUGUUGGGACCCGAAAGAUGGUGAACUAUGCCUGAAUAGGGUGAAGCCAGAGGAAACUACUGGUGGAGGCUCGCAGCGGUUACUGACGUGCAAAUCGAUCGUCAAAUUUGGGUAAUAGGGGCGAAAGACUAAUCGAACCAUCUGGUAGCUGGGUUCCUGCCGA